Molecule: ribosomal RNA, 497 nt
Filed under: uncultured bacterium
Lineage: Bacteria
Description: partial 16S ribosomal RNA
Rfam family: Bacterial small subunit ribosomal RNA
Source: RNAcentral
GAUGAACGCUGGCGGCGUGCCUAAUACAUGCAAGUCGAGCGAACAGAUGAGGAGCUUGCUCCUCUGACGUUAGCGGCGGACGGGUGAGUAACACGUGGAUAACCUACCUAUAAGACUGGGAUAACUACGGGAAACCGGAGCUAAUACCGGAUAAUAUAUUGAACCGCAUGGUUCAAUAGUGAAAGACGGUUUUGCUGUCACUUAUAGAUGGAUCCGCGCCGCAUUAGCUAGUUGGUAAGGUAACGGCUUACCAAGGCAACGAUGCGUAGCCGACCUGAGAGGGUGAUCGGCCACACUGGAACUGAGACACGGUCCAGACUCCUACGGGAGGCAGCAGUAGGGAAUCUUCCGCAAUGGGCGAAAGCCUGACGGAGCAACGCCGCGUGAGUGAUGAAGGUCUUCGGAUCGUAAAACUCUGUUAUUAGGGAAGAACAAAUGUAUAAGUAACUAUGCACGUCUUGACGGUACCUAAUCAGAAAGCCACGGCUAACUACGUG